AAAUUAGGUAGAGGCUGAGAACCCGUCCUGAAGAUACGGGCACCUGGGACGGAGGGAGCUAUUGGUGCGACCGGCUACGGAGAUC
RNAcentral lists this non-coding RNA (85 nucleotides) under unclassified sequences. RNAcentral describes it as "c-di-GMP sequence". It matches the Rfam family "c-di-GMP-II-GAG riboswitch aptamer". The record is from Rfam by way of RNAcentral.